GAGUUUGAUCGUGGCUCAGAUUGAACGCUGGCGGCAGGCCUAACACAUGCAAGUCGGGCGGUAGAGAGAAGCUUGCUUCUCUUGAGAGCGGCGGACGGGUGAGUAAUGCCUAGGAAUCUGCCUGGUAGUGGGGGAUAACGCUCGGAAACGGACGCUAAUACCGCAUACGUCCUACGGGAGAAAGCAGGGGACCUUCGGGCCUUGCGCUAUCAGAUGAGCCUAGGUCGGAUUAGCUAGUUGGUGAGGUAAUGGCUCACCAAGGCGACGAUCCGUAACUGGUCUGAGAGGAUGAUCAGUCACACUGGAACUGAGACACGGUCCAGACUCCUACGGGAGGCAGCAGUGGGGAAUAUUGGACAAUGGGCGAAAGCCUGAUCCAGCCAUGCCGCGUGUGUGAAGAAGGUCUUCGGAUUGUAAAGCACUUUAAGUUGGGAGAAGGGCAGUAAAUUAAUACUUUGCUGUUUUGACGUUACCGACAGAAUAAGCACCGGCUAACUCUGUGCCAGCAGCCG
RNAcentral lists this ribosomal RNA (512 nucleotides) under uncultured bacterium. RNAcentral's name for it is "bacterial SSU rRNA". It matches the Rfam family "Bacterial small subunit ribosomal RNA", at positions 9 to 517 of the family's 1533-position model. The record is from RNAcentral.